GGUCGGGUGGCAGAGUGGUCGAAUGCACCGGUCUUGAAAACCGGCGUGUCGCAAGGCACCGUGGGUUCGAAUCCCACCCCGACCGC
This 86-nucleotide transfer RNA is filed under the name Planctomycetes bacterium MalM25. RNAcentral's name for it is "tRNA-Ser". It matches the Rfam family "tRNA". From Rfam's summary of the family: Transfer RNA (tRNA) molecules are approximately 80 nucleotides in length. Their secondary structure includes four short double-helical elements and three loops (D, anti-codon, and T loops). Further hydrogen bonds mediate the characteristic L-shaped molecular structure. tRNAs have two regions of fundamental functional importance: the anti-codon, which is responsible for specific mRNA codon recognition, and the 3' end, to which the tRNAs corresponding amino acid is attached (by aminoacyl-tRNA synthetases). tRNAs cope with the degeneracy of the genetic code in two manners: having more than one tRNA (with a specific anti-codon) for a particular amino acid; and 'wobble' base-pairing, i.e. permitting non-standard base-pairing at the 3rd anti-codon position. The record is from RNAcentral. Lineage: Bacteria; Pseudomonadati; Planctomycetota.